This 850-nucleotide ribosomal RNA is filed under the name uncultured Gemmatimonadales bacterium. RNAcentral describes it as "bacterial SSU rRNA". It matches the Rfam family "Bacterial small subunit ribosomal RNA", at positions 58 to 919 of the family's 1533-position model. The record is from RNAcentral. Lineage: Bacteria; Pseudomonadati; Gemmatimonadota; Gemmatimonadia; Gemmatimonadales.
CAAGUCAUGGGGGCCCGCAAGGGCAACCGGCGAACGGGUGCGUAACACGUGAGCGACCUGCCUGAGUGCGGGGGAUAGCCGGCCCAACGGCCGGGUAAUACCGCAUACGCUUUUUCGAGGGCAUCCUUGGGAAAGGAAACCUCCGGGGCACUCAGAGGGGCUCGCGGCCUAUCAGCUAGUUGGCGGGGUAAUGGCCCACCAAGGCGACGACGGGUAGCUGGUCUGAGAGGAUGGCCAGCCACAUUGGGACUGAGAGACGGCCCAGACUCCUACGGGAGGCAGCAGUGGGGAAUCUUGCGCAAUGGCCGAAAGGCUGACGCAGCGACGCCGCGUGUGGGAGGAAGCUCUUCGGGGUGUAAACCACUGUUGCCCGGGACGAACAUGCUCUUUCGAGAGCACUGACGGUACCGGGUGAGGAAGCACCGGCUAACUCUGUGCCAGCAGCCGCGGUAAUACAGAGGGUGCGAGCGUUGUCCGGAAUCACUGGGCGUAAAGGGCGCGUAGGCGGCUUGAUAAGCGUGCGGUGAAAGCCCGGGGCUCAACCCCGGGUCGGCCGUGCGAACUGUCGAGCUGGAGCACUGUAGAGGCAGGUGGAAUUCCGGGUGUAGCGGUGGAAUGCGUAGAGAUCCGGAAGAACACCGGUGGCGAAGGCGGCCUGCUGGGCAGUGGCUGACGCUGAGGCGCGACAGCGUGGGGAGCAAACAGGAUUAGAUACCCUGGUAGUCCACGCCGUAAACGAUGGGCACUAGGUGCUUGGGGGAGCGACCCUCCGAGUGCCGGCGCUAACGCAUUAAGUGCCCCGCCUGGGGAGUACGGCCGCAAGGCUGAAACUCAAAGGAAUUGACGGGGG